UACGUUGGGUGCGAGCGUUGUCCGGAAUUAUUGGGCGUAAAGAGCUCGUAGGCGGCCUGUUGCGUCUGCUGUGAAAGCCCGGGGCUUAACCCCGGGUCUGCAGUGGAUACGGGCAGGCUAGAGUUCGGCAGGGGAGACUGGAAUUCCUGGUGUAGCGGUGAAAUGCGCAGAUAUCAGGAGGAACACCGGUGGCGAAGGCGGGUCUCUGGGCCGAUACUGACGCUGAGGAGCGAAAGCGUGGGGAGCGAACAGG
This 253-nucleotide ribosomal RNA is filed under the name uncultured bacterium. Its description in RNAcentral is "partial 16S ribosomal RNA". It matches the Rfam family "Bacterial small subunit ribosomal RNA", at positions 524 to 776 of the family's 1533-position model. The record is from RNAcentral.